RNAcentral lists this ribosomal RNA (1629 nucleotides) under Faecalibacterium sp. Marseille-P9590. Its description in RNAcentral is "partial 23S ribosomal RNA". It matches the Rfam family "Bacterial large subunit ribosomal RNA", at positions 405 to 2126 of the family's 2925-position model. Lineage: Bacteria; Bacillati; Bacillota; Clostridia; Eubacteriales; Oscillospiraceae. The record is from RNAcentral.
UUCCAGAGUACGGCCAGACACGUGAAACCUGGUCGGAAGAUGGGGGGACCACCCUCCAACCCUAAAUACUACCCAGUGACCGAUAGCGUAUAGUACUGUGAAGGAAAGGUGAAAAGCACCCCGGGAGGGGAGUGAAAAAGAACCUGAAACCCUGUGCCUACAAGCACCUAGAGCACGUCAAUGUGUGAUAGGGUACUUUUUGUAGAACGGUCCGGCGAGCGAUUGUAUGCAGCAAGGUUAAGGACUUAAGGUCUGGAGCCGAAGCGAAAGCGAGUUUGAAAAGGGCGUUAAGUUGCAUAUAAUGGGCCCGAAACCGGGUGACCUACCCAUGGUCAGGUUGAAGUGGAAGUAAAAUUCCAUGGAGGACCGAACCGACCUCCGUUGAAAAGGCGGCGGAUGAACUGUGGGUAGCGGAGAAAUUCCAAUCGAACCCGGAGAUAGCUGGUUCUCCCCGAAAUAGUUUUAGGACUAGCCUCAAGUUAGAUACCUGGAGGUAAAGCACUGAAUAGCCUAGCGGCCGAGAGGUUAGCGAAGCUUAUCAAACUCAGAAUGCCAGAGUAUUGAUGCUUGGGAGUCAGACAGUGUCAGAUAAAUGUCAUUGUCAAAAGGGAAACAGCCCAGAUCUACAGCUAAGGUCCCAAAGUCAGGUUAAGUGGAAAACGAUGUGAAGAUACGCAGACAACCAGGAUGUUGGCUCAGAAGCAGCCACUCAUUCAAAGAGUGCGUAAUAGCUCACUGGUCGAGCGUCUUUGCGCGGAGAAUUUAACGGGGCUAAACCUGACACCGAAGCUUAGGCAAUCCAGCAAUGGAUUGGGUAGGGGAGCGUUGUAUACGCGGAGAAACAGUAGCGUGAGCGGCUGUGGAGUGUAUAGAAGUGAGAAUGCCGGAAUGAGUAGCGCGAAUGCAGUGAGAAUCUGCAUGGCCGAAAGCCUCAGGUUUUUGGAGGAAGGUUCGUCCGCUCCAAGUUAGUCGGGAGCUAAGGUGAGGCCGGAAGGCGUAGCCGAUGCACAGACGGUAGAGAUUCCGUCACCACCAAAAGAGUUAAGCACAGGGACACAUUUGAAGUCUCAGAGCCGGGUGUUGGUUCCGGUAGAGAUCGAGGGAAAUUAGUACCGAAGUCUGGGAUGGAAGAUGGCGAGAAAAGCUGUGUGUAUUUCUGAGGUGCCCGUACCGCAAACCGACACAGGUAGGUAGGAAGAAGAUUCUAAGGCCAACGGGAGAAGGGUUGUUAAGGAACUCGGCAAAUUGACCCCGUAACUUCGGGAGAAGGGGUGCUCCAGAGAUGGAGCCGCAGAGAAUCGGCCCAAGCAACUGUUUACCAAAAACACAGGUUUGUGCUAAAUCGAAAGAUGACGUAUACGAGCUGACGCCUGCCCGGUGCUGGAAGGUUAAGAGGAGAUGUGCAAGCAUUGAAUCGAAGCCCCAGUGAACGGCGGCCGUAACUAUAACGGUCCUAAGGUAGCGAAAUUCCUUGUCAGGUAAGUUCUGACCCGCAUGAAAGGCGUAAUGAUUUGGGCACUGUCUCAACAGCCCGCCCGGCGAAAUUGUAGUACCGGUGAAGAUGCCGGUUACCCGCGACAAGACGGAAAGACCCCAUGGAGCUUUACUGUAGCCUAAUAUUGGGUUUCG